RNAcentral lists this ribosomal RNA (494 nucleotides) under uncultured bacterium. Its description in RNAcentral is "bacterial SSU rRNA". It matches the Rfam family "Bacterial small subunit ribosomal RNA", at positions 903 to 1397 of the family's 1533-position model. The record is from RNAcentral.
AAAUGAAUAGACGGGGGCCCGCACAAGCGGAGGAGCAUGUGGCUUAAUUCGAUGCAACGCGAAGAACCUUACCUAGGCUUGACAUGUGACUGCACGCCCUGUGAAAGCAGGGCUCCUUCGAGGGUGUCACACAGGUGCUGCAUGGCUGUCGUCAGUUCGUGCCGUGAGGUGUUUGGUUAAGUCCACCAACGAACGCAACCCCUGCGUCCAUUUGCCAACGGGUAAUGCCGGGAACUAUGGACGGACUGCCCCUUCAAACGGGAGGAAGGUGGGGAUGACGUCAAGUCAGUAUGGCCCUUACGCCUAGGGCUGCACACGUGCUACAAUGGCCGGUACAGAAGGAUGCGAGACCGCGAGGUGGAGCAAAACCCCAAAACCGGCCCCAGUUCAGAUUGGAGUCUGCAAUUCGACUCCAUGAAGUUGGAUUCGCUAGUAACGGCGCAUCAGCAUUCGGCGCCGUGAAUACGUUCCCGGGCCUUGUACACACCGCCCGU